RNAcentral lists this ribosomal RNA (1031 nucleotides) under Klebsiella pneumoniae subsp. rhinoscleromatis. RNAcentral describes it as "bacterial SSU rRNA". It matches the Rfam family "Bacterial small subunit ribosomal RNA", at positions 66 to 1088 of the family's 1533-position model. Lineage: Bacteria; Pseudomonadati; Pseudomonadota; Gammaproteobacteria; Enterobacterales; Enterobacteriaceae. The record is from RNAcentral.
GCGGUAGCACAGAGAGCUUGCUCUCGGGUGACGAGCGGCGGACGGGUGAGUAAUGUCUGGGAAACUGCCUGAUGGAGGGGGAUAACUACUGGAAACGGUAGCUAAUACCGCAUAACGUCGCAAGACCAAAGUGGGGGACCUUCGGGCCUCAUGCCAUCAGAUGUGCCCAGAUGGGAUUAGCUAGUAGGUGGGGUAACGGCUCACCUAGGCGACGAUCCCUAGCUGGUCUGAGAGGAUGACCAGCCACACUGGAACUGAGACACGGUCCAGACUCCUACGGGAGGCAGCAGUGGGGAAUAUUGCACAAUGGGCGCAAGCCUGAUGCAGCCAUGCCGCGUGUAUGAAGAAGGCCUUCGGGUUGUAAAGUACUUUCAGCGGGGAGGAAGGCGAUAAGGUUAAUAACCUUGUCGAUUGACGUUACCCGCAGAAGAAGCACCGGCUAACUCCGUGCCAGCAGCCGCGGUAAUACGGAGGGUGCAAGCGUUAAUCGGAAUUACUGGGCGUAAAGCGCACGCAGGCGGUCUGUCAAGUCGGAUGUGAAAUCCCCGGGCUCAACCUGGGAACUGCAUUCGAAACUGGCAGGCUAGAGUCUUGUAGAGGGGGGUAGAAUUCCAGGUGUAGCGGUGAAAUGCGUAGAGAUCUGGAGGAAUACCGGUGGCGAAGGCGGCCCCCUGGACAAAGACUGACGCUCAGGUGCGAAAGCGUGGGGAGCAAACAGGAUUAGAUACCCUGGUAGUCCACGCCGUAAACGAUGUCGAUUUGGAGGUUGUGCCCUUGAGGCGUGGCUUCCGGAGCUAACGCGUUAAAUCGACCGCCUGGGGAGUACGGCCGCAAGGUUAAAACUCAAAUGAAUUGACGGGGGCCCGCACAAGCGGUGGAGCAUGUGGUUUAAUUCGAUGCAACGCGAAGAACCUUACCUGGUCUUGACAUCCACAGAACUUAGCAGAGAUGCUUUGGUGCCUUCGGGAACUGUGAGACAGGUGCUGCAUGGCUGUCGUCAGCUCGUGUUGUGAAAUGUUGGGUUAAGUCCC